Molecule: ribosomal RNA, 459 nt
Filed under: uncultured bacterium
Lineage: Bacteria
Description: partial 16S ribosomal RNA
Rfam family: Bacterial small subunit ribosomal RNA
Source: RNAcentral
CCUACGGGAGGCAGCAGUGAGGAAUAUUGGUCAAUGGGAGAGAUCCUGAACCAGCCAAGCCGCGUGAGGGAAGACGGCCCUAUGGGUUGUAAACCUCUUUUGUCGGAGAACAAAACCCGGGACGUGUCCCGGACUGCGUGUAUCCGAAGAAAAAGCAUCGGCUAACUCCGUGCCAGCAGCCGCGGUAAUCCGGAGGAUGCGAGCGUUAUCCGGAUUUAUUGGGUUUAAAGGGUGCGUAGGCGGUCCGUUAAGUCCGCGGGAAAAUUGCGGGGCUAAACCCCGUCGAGCCGUUGAAACUGGGAGACUUGAGUUGGCGAGAAGUAGGCGGAAUGCGGGGUGUAGCGGUGAAAUGCAUAGAUAUCGCGCAGAACUCCGAUUGCGAAGGCAGCGUACCGGCGCCAGACUGACGCUGAGGCACGAAAGCGUGGGGAUCGAACAGGAUUAGAUACCCGGGUAGUC